Molecule: ribosomal RNA, 520 nt
Filed under: uncultured Glomus
Lineage: Eukaryota; Fungi; Glomeromycota; Glomeromycetes; Glomerales; Glomeraceae
Description: SSU rRNA
Rfam family: Eukaryotic small subunit ribosomal RNA
Source: RNAcentral
AGCAGCCGCGGUAAUUCCAGCUCCAAUAGCGUAUAUUAAAGUUGUUGCAGUUAAAAAGCUCGUAGUUGAAUUUCGGGAUCAGUACGCUGGUCGUGCCUUUGGUAUGUACUGGUGUCACUGAUUCCUCCCUUCUGAAGAACCGUUAUGCCAUUUAUUUGGUGUGGCGGGAAAUCAGGACUGUUACUUUGAAAAAUUAGAGUGUUUAAAGCAGGCUCGCGCUUGAAUACAUUAGCAUGGAAUAAUGAAAUAGGACGUUUGAUCUUAUUUUGUUGGUUUCUAGGAUCGACGUAAUGAUUAAUAGGGAUAGUUGGGGGCAUUAGUAUUCAAUUGUCAGAGGUGAAAUUCUUGGAUUUAUUGAAGACUAACUACUGCGAAAGCAUUUGCCAAGGAUGUUUUCAUUAAUCAAGAACGAAAGUUAGGGGAUCGAAGACGAUCAGAUACCGUCGUAGUCUUAACCAUAAACUAUGCCGACUAGGGAUCGGAUGAUGUUAAUUUUUAAUGACUCAUUCGGCGCCUUACG